AAUAGAUACCCAGGUAGUCCACGCCGUAAACGAUGAGUGCUAGGUGUUGGAGGAGACAUCCUUCGGUGCCGCAGCAAACGCAUUAAGCACUCCGCCUGGGGAGUACGGUCGCAAGACUGAAACUCAAAGGAAUUGACGGGGACCCGCACAAGCAGCGGAGCAUGUGGUUUAAUUCGAAGCAACGCGAAGAACCUUACCAGGACUUGACAUCCCUCUGACCGGGUAGUAAUGUACCCUUUCCUUCGGGACAGAGGAGACAGGUGGUGCAUGGUUGUCGUCAGCUCGUGUCGUGAGAUGUUGGGUUAAGUCCCGCAACAAGCGCAACCCUUGUCUUUAGUUGCCAGCACGAUAGGGUGGGCACUCUAGAGAGACUGCCGGGGAUAACUCGGAGGAAGGUGGGGAUGACGUCAAAUCAUCAUGCCCCUUAUGUUCUGGGCUACACACGUGCUACAAUGGCCGGUACAACGGGAGGCGAAGGAGUAAUCCGGAGCGAAUCCUAAAAGCCGGUCUCAGUUCGGAUUGUGGG
RNAcentral lists this ribosomal RNA (526 nucleotides) under uncultured bacterium. Its description in RNAcentral is "bacterial SSU rRNA". It matches the Rfam family "Bacterial small subunit ribosomal RNA", at positions 777 to 1304 of the family's 1533-position model. The record is from RNAcentral.